This 492-nucleotide ribosomal RNA is filed under the name uncultured bacterium. RNAcentral describes it as "partial 16S ribosomal RNA". It matches the Rfam family "Bacterial small subunit ribosomal RNA", at positions 29 to 507 of the family's 1533-position model. The record is from RNAcentral.
AGUGAACGCUGGCGGUAGGCCUAACACAUGCAAGUCGAACGGCAGCACAGUAAGAGCUUGCUCUUACGGGUGGCGAGUGGCGGACGGGUGAGGAAUACAUCGGAAUCUACUUUUUCGUGGGGGAUAACGUAGGGAAACUUACGCUAAUACCGCAUACGACCUACGGGUGAAAGCAGGGGAUCUUCGGACCUUGCGCGAUUGAAUGAGCCGAGGUCGGAUUAGCUAGUUGGCGGGGUAAAGGCCCACCAAGGCGACGAUCCGUAGCUGGUCUGAGAGGAUGAUCAGCCACACUGGAACUGAGACACGGUCCAGACUCCUACGGGAGGCAGCAGUGGGGAAUAUUGGACAAUGGGCGAAAGCCUGAUCCGGCAAUACCGCGUGGGUGAAGAAGGCCUUCGGGUUGUAAAGCCCUUUUGUUGGGAAAGAAAAGCAGCAGGUUAAUACCCCGCUGUUCUGACGGUACCCAAAGAAUAAGCACCGGCUAACUUCGUG